Molecule: transfer RNA, 86 nt
Filed under: Desulfobacterales bacterium
Lineage: Bacteria; Pseudomonadati; Thermodesulfobacteriota; Desulfobacteria; Desulfobacterales
Description: tRNA-Leu
Rfam family: tRNA
About the family: Transfer RNA (tRNA) molecules are approximately 80 nucleotides in length.
Source: RNAcentral
GCUGAAGAGGUGGAAUUGGUAGACACGCUAUCUUGAGGGGGUAGUGCUCAAAAGGCGUGCGGGUUCGAGUCCCGCCUUCGGCACCA